CCUCUUCUUCAUUUCUUCACUCAAAAUUGUUAUCUCAAUCUCAAUUCUCAAUUUCUCAAUUUCUCUCUUCCCUUCAAUUUGCAAGAUUUCAUCUUCUAAUUUUAUAAUUUUAGUUGGCUCUCUUUUCUUGAAUUUAAUUUAUCGAAAGUUGACAUUCGGAAUUUGAAGUUUGAAGUUCAAAAUUGAUAUACUUGCUUGACGUUUGUUCGUGGUAAGUAGUAUUAGAGUUGGAGCUGCUAGUGCUACAAGGAGUGGUGAUCGUGGCACCACUCCUGGUAGACCACCUGUGGCUCCAACUUCUAUUCGUAGAAAAAGAAGUAAGGUUUGGAAGUUUUUUUUGAAAUAGUAGAAGGUACUGAUAGAGUUAGGUGCAAAAUUUGUAACGAUACUUUUAAAUAUUUGACUUGAGGAAAUUUAGGUGGGACCGGGAAUAGACAUAUGAGAGUUGACCAUCUCAUAGAAUGGGGCACUGAUGGGGAUGGAAAUCAUACAACUAUUAACCCUACUACUGGAGGUCUAGUAAAAUAUGAUAAUAUGAGGGAUCGUGAUGAAUUAGCAAAAAUGAUUGCUUUGGGUUGUCUACCUUUUUUUUUUUGCUUUUUUAUCGUAUCUUAUUAUGUAUAUUCAAAGGAUUCACAAUCCUUUAUUUAAAGGUUUCCCUAGAAGUACUUGUAAAGCAGAUAUCUCUAGACUUCAUGGACAAUAUCAAGCAUACAUACGUUAUUUGUUUAGCCACCUUCCUUCUACAGUAUGUCUAACUUCUGAUAUUGGCCAUGUUGUUAAUGGAAAUGAUUAUUUGACAAUUACAUACCAUUGGAUAGAUGAUAAUACUUGUAUGCAAAAAUAUAUUGGCCAUGUUGUUAAUGGAAAUGAUUAUUUGACAAUUACAUGCAAUUGAAUAGAUGAUAGUACUUGUAUGAAAAAACGUAUUAUCGCUUUUAAAUAUGAUGAAGAUUAGAGUCAUGUUGAUGCGUUUAUAAGUAGUACUAUUGUUGAAGUUGUUGAAUUUUAUAAUCUAAACAAAAAAGUAUUGUGUAUGUCAUUUGAUAAUGCUUCUAACAAUAAUGCCGCAAUUUCAAUUUUAAAAAUGCAUUUGCAACCACCUUUUGAUGAUAUUUUUCAUGUUAGGUGUGCAUGUCAUGUUUAUAAUUUAAGUGUUAAAAGUGGUUUUGAUUUAUUUUCAGUUGAGAUUACUCAUGUUAGAAGAGCAAUUGGUGUUAUUCAAGAAAAUAAUAGACAAUCUAGAAUAAAUAAAUUUAAGACUAAGUGUAUCCAGUAUAACCUUAAACCUAGAUUCAUGUCAGACGAAAUUGUUACAAUCUAGGAUAAAAGAAUUUAAGACUUUUAUCUAGUAUAACCUUACACCUAGAUUCAUGCCAGACGAAAUUGUUACUAGAUGGAAUUAUACACAUAUAUUUUUAAAAUGUUGCUACAAAUAUAGAUUCUCAAUAACUGAAGUUGCUAAUGCACAUUGUACUGAUCCAAGGCGUAUGUUAAUAAGUGAUACUUGGGAAGUCAUUAAUGAUGUCAAAUUUUUACAUAAAUUUUAUACAGCUACUGUUGAGUUUUAUGGAGCAUAUUACCUCACUGUUACUAUGGCUUUAGUACAUAUAGCUGAAAUUUCUUUUCUACUAUUUGAAUUUAAGAANNN
This 1651-nucleotide long non-coding RNA is filed under the name Nicotiana benthamiana. RNAcentral's name for it is "long non-coding RNA (NBEN_LNC023361)". The record is from RNAcentral. Lineage: Eukaryota; Viridiplantae; Streptophyta; Magnoliopsida; Solanales; Solanaceae.